Molecule: ribosomal RNA, 399 nt
Filed under: uncultured eukaryote
Lineage: Eukaryota
Description: SSU rRNA
Rfam family: Eukaryotic small subunit ribosomal RNA
Source: RNAcentral
CAAUAGCGUAUAUUAAAGCUGUUGCGGUUAAAGAGCUCGCAGUUGGAUUUCUGCUGAGGACGACCGGUCCGCCUCCGGUGAGCAUCUGCUUCGGCCUUGGCAUCUUCUUGGGUAACGUAUCUGCACUUGACUGUGUGGUGCGGUACCCAGGACUUUACUUUGAGGAAAUUCGAGUGUUUCAAGCAGGCAUACGCCUUGAAUACAUUAGCAUGGAAUAAUAAGAUAGGAACUCGGUUCUAUUUUGUUGGUUCUAGAGCUGAGGUAAUGAUUAAUAGGGAUAGUUGGGGCGAUUCGUAUUUAACUGUCAGAGGUGAAAUUCUUGGAUUUGCUAAAGACGGACUACUGCGAAAGCAUUUGCCAAGGAUGUUUUCAUUGAUCAAGAACGAAAGUUAGGGGAUC